GUAGUAUAACUCUGACUGUACAUUACCCAAACUGAUUGUGACUGACAGUGAUGUAACCCAGGUUACAAGAGCCAGCACCUGUGAAUAGAGAAAAAUAUAUAUUACUACAUAUGUAAAUAAAAUAAGACUAUUUUAUUAAUAUCAUCCCAUUAUUUUAUUCAUAUUCAUAUUAUAUAUCGAAUUCUCAACUUAUACUAAGUGAAAUAGUUAAUAACAGAAAAUGUCUAGGAAAAUAAGCAAAAUUAGAAACUGGCCGUUUAAGAGUAACCCCUCCCUCAAGGUUGACGUCAAAAAAAAAAAAAAAAACAGAAAAAGGGGACUGAGGAGGACAAACAGAAAAAGGGAGAGAACGGUGAGAAGCGGAGACAUGGCGAUUUAGCAAAAACAGCUUUUGAACAGAGAUUUAAAGUGUUUUAAGUUAAGUCGAUCUGUAAGAGAAGUGUUUUGAAAUAUGAGAACAGUGUUCGCUCGUUAGCAUAAAGUGGUGCUUACAUUAGACGAUCGCGAUUGCACUGGAUCUGAAGAAAAUAGGAAACAGAAAAAAGGAGAGAACGGUGAGAAGCGGAGACAUGGCGAUUUAGCAAAAACAGCUUUUGAACAGAGAUUUAAAGUGUUUUAAGUUAAGUCGAUCUGUAAGAGAAGUGUUUUGAAAUAUGAGAACAGUGUUCGCUCGUUAGCAGUAAAGUGGUGCUUACAUUAGACGAUCGCGAUUGCACUGGAUCUGAAGAAAAUAGGAAACAGAAAAAAGUUAAUUCACUCGAGAGAAACCAAAAGAGAGAUUUUUAUUUUUCCAUCCGGGAUUGUUCUGUUUACUCACUAUUUCUCUUG
Molecule: long non-coding RNA, 828 nt
Organism: Cyprinus carpio carpio
Lineage: Eukaryota; Metazoa; Chordata; Actinopteri; Cypriniformes; Cyprinidae
Source: Ensembl